Molecule: small nuclear RNA, 329 nt
Filed under: Ailuropoda melanoleuca (giant panda)
Lineage: Eukaryota; Metazoa; Chordata; Mammalia; Carnivora; Ursidae
Description: 7SK RNA
Rfam family: 7SK RNA
About the family: 7SK was discovered as an abundant small nuclear RNA in the mid-70s but a possible function has only recently been suggested. Two independent studies have found that 7SK RNA binds the CDK9/cyclin T complex (known as elongation factor P-TEFb). P-TEFb activates transcription by phosphorylating the C-terminal domain of RNA polymerase II.
Source: Rfam by way of RNAcentral
GGGUGCAAGGGCGAUCUGGCUGCAACAUCUGUACCCCACUGAUCGCCAGGGUUGGCUCGGCUGAUCUGGAUGGCUGGGUGGGUGUCCCCUCCUCCCUCACUGCUCCACGUGCAGCCCUCCCAGAGCUGUGUGGUUGCUGGAAGAGGGUGACCUUCCCUCAUGGAGGAGGACCGUUCUUCGUCAGGGGUAUACGAGUUAGCUGCGCUCCCCUGCCAGAACCUCCAGCCAAGCUCUCAAGGUCCAUUUGCAGGAGAAUGUAGGGUAGACAAGCUUCCAAGACUCCAGACACGUCCAGAUGAGGUGCUGCAUGUGGCAGUCUGCCUUUCUUU